GAUAAACGCUGGCGGCGUGCCUAAUACAUGCAAGUCGAGCGAACGGACGAGAAGCUUGCUUCUCUGAUGUUAGCGGCGGACGGGUGAGUAACACGUGGAUAACCUACCUAUAAGACUGGGAUAACUUCGGGAAACCGGAGCUAAUACCGGAUAAUAUUUUGAACCGCAUGGUUCAAAAGUGAAAGACGGUCUUGCUGUCACUUAUAGAUGGAUCCGCGCUGCAUUAGCUAGUUGGUAAGGUAACGGCUUACCAAGGCAACGAUGCAUAGCCGACCUGAGAGGGUGAUCGGCCACACUGGAACUGAGACACGGUCCAGACUCCUACGGGAGGCAGCAGUAGGGAAUCUUCCGCAAUGGGCGAAAGCCUGACGGAGNCACGCCGCGUGAGUGAUGAAGGUCUUCGGAUUGUAAAACUCUGUUAUUAGGGAAGACAUAUGUGUUAGUAACUGUGCACAUCUUGACGGUACCUAAUCGAAAGGCACGGCUAACUACGUGCCAGCAGCCGGGGUAUACGUAGGUGGCAGCGUUAUCCGGAAUAAUGGGCGUAAAGCGCGUAGCGGUUUUUUAAGUCUGAUGUGAAAGCCCACGGCUCAACCGUGGAGGGUCAUUGGAAACUGGAAAACUUGAGUGCAGAAGAGGAAAGUGGAAUUCCAUGUGUAGCGGUGAAAUGCGCAGAGAUAUGGAGGAACACCAGUGGCGAAGGCGACUUUCUGGUCUGUAACUGACGCUGAUGUGCGAAAGCGUGGGGAUCAAACAGGAUUAGAUACCCUGGUAGUCCACGCCGUAAACGAUGAGUGCUAAGUGUUAGGGGGUUUCCGCCCCUUAGUGCUGCAGCUAACGCAUUAAGCACUCCGCCUGGGGAGUACGACCGCAAGGUUGAAACUCAAAGGAAUUGACGGGGACCCGCACAAGCGGUGGAGCAUGUGGUUUAAUUCGAAGCAACGCGAAGAACCUUACCAAAUCUUGACAUCCUUUGACAACUCUAGAGAUAGAGCCUUCCCCUUCGGGGGACAAAGUGACAGGUGGUGCAUGGUUGUCGUCAGCUCGUGUCGUGAGAUGUUGGGUUAAGUCCCGCAACGAGCGCAACCCUUAAGCUUAGUUGCCAUCAUUAAGUUGGGCACUCUAAGUUGACUGCCGGUGACAAACCGGAGGAAGGUGGGGAUGACGUCAAAUCAUCAUGCCCCUUAUGAUUUGGGCUACACACGUGCUACAAUGGACAAUACAAAGGGCAGCGAAACCGCGAGGUCAAGCAAAUCCCAUAAAGUUGUUCUCAGUUCGGAUUGUAGUCUGCAACUCGACUACAUGAAGCUGGAAUCGCUAGUAAUCGUAGAUCAGCAUGCUACGGUGAAUACGUUCCCGGGUCU
Molecule: ribosomal RNA, 1364 nt
Filed under: uncultured bacterium
Lineage: Bacteria
Description: bacterial SSU rRNA
Rfam family: Bacterial small subunit ribosomal RNA
Source: RNAcentral